RNAcentral lists this ribosomal RNA (253 nucleotides) under uncultured bacterium. RNAcentral describes it as "partial 16S ribosomal RNA". It matches the Rfam family "Bacterial small subunit ribosomal RNA", at positions 524 to 776 of the family's 1533-position model. The record is from RNAcentral.
UACAGAGGGUGCAAGCGUUAAUCGGAAUUACUGGGCGUAAAGCGUGCGUAGACGGUUACAUAAGUCGGGUGUGAAAGCCCGAGGCUCAACCUCGGAACUGCCUUCGAUACUGCGGGUCUCGAGUCCGGGAGAGGUGAGUGGAAUUCCUAGUGUAGAGGUGAAAUUCGUAGAUAUUAGGAAGAACACCAGUGGCGAAGGCGGCUCACUGGCCCGGUACUGACGCUGAGGCGCGAAAGCGUGGGGAGCAAACAGG